AUGGCUAAUGUCUGUGCUACUGGACAAGUCGAGUUCUUUCCUUCCUCACAAGGAAAAGUCUUUCCUCCCUCUGACGCUGCGGCCGGUUCGCCUCACCUCCGACCUCCUUUGGGCCAUGGAGGUGCAGAGGGGGCGGGAGGACCUCGUUCUCGUGUUAGGUUCAUUGUCUUGGAUGGUGCUUGUCUUGGAUGGUGCUGUGUGACGACGGUGAUGUCCGAAAAUGCUCAGGCCGCCCUUGCGGGUGCAGCUGCCCGGUGCGCGGCUGAACAGCUCGUGGACGGCCAGGCCUCAGUACCAGUAGGGGUUGGUGCUGUCGCUCUCCCAUCGAGGGAGACGAGGCCGGGGUGGCCUCGGACUUGCCUUCUUCCAGCCGUGUGCCGGCUAGGAAGCGAGUGGCCAAGAUCUUUGGCGUACGAUCCACUCCAACGUGUUGAUUGGCACUGGACUCCUUCCGUGGGUCUUUUUGGUGGUCAAUUGGUGGGUUGUAAUAAAGAUGUUUGUGAUGUUAUUAUGUGGGAGUCUGGUUUGUUUUAUAUAGCUGUCACUGUUUGUCACCGGGUUUCCCAUGCUUCUUGGGUGAUUGUAAGUGUUUACGGGUCGGCUGACCACGCGAGGUCUGCUGAUUUCUUGGAAGAAAUCACAACUCUGGUCGGGGUCAAACAAGCGUCCAACCUACCAGUAGUAGUGGAAGGGAACUUUAACUUGAUUCGCUCGGGGGCGGACAAGAACAAUGACAACAUUAACUGGGCUAGGGUGUUCCUAUUCAACAAUGCCAUCGCGGCCGCUGCUCUUAGAGAGAUUGCGCGUACAGGGGCGAGAUAUACUUGGACUAACAAACAACGGGAGCCAGUCCGUUGUGUUCUCGACCGUGUGUUCUGUUCAAGUGAUUGGGAGGUGUUGUUCCCCCUCUGUACCUUAGUGGUUGAAACGCGCAUUGAUCAGACCACGUUCCUCUGA
This 957-nucleotide ribosomal RNA is filed under the name Triticum aestivum (bread wheat). RNAcentral's name for it is "partial small subunit ribosomal RNA". Lineage: Eukaryota; Viridiplantae; Streptophyta; Magnoliopsida; Poales; Poaceae. The record is from RNAcentral.